RNAcentral lists this ribosomal RNA (253 nucleotides) under uncultured bacterium. RNAcentral's name for it is "partial 16S ribosomal RNA". It matches the Rfam family "Bacterial small subunit ribosomal RNA", at positions 524 to 776 of the family's 1533-position model. The record is from RNAcentral.
UACAGAGGUCUCAAGCGUUGUUCGGAUUUAUUGGGCGUAAAGGGCGCGUAGGCGGCCAUGCGUGUCUUCCGUGAAAUCCCUCGGCUUAACUGAGGACGUGCGGAAGAAACUGCAAGGCUCGAGUCCGGGAGAGGGGGGUGGAAUUCCCAGUGUAGCGGUGAAAUGCGUAGAUAUUGGGAGGAACACCGGUGGCGAAGGCGGCCCCCUGGACCGGUACUGACGCUGAGGCGCGAAAGCGUGGGUAGCAAACGGG